RNA transcript from Numida meleagris (helmeted guineafowl), 7078 nucleotides. It is a transcript of the gene named protein inhibitor of activated STAT 2, with no coding region annotated. The record is from RefSeq and is a predicted model, not a curated record. The transcript is spliced from 13 exons. NCBI's taxonomy places the organism in Eukaryota, Metazoa, Chordata, Aves, Galliformes, Numididae.
UUAUUUAUUUAUUUAUUUUUUCCCGUGUCUUUGAGGCCUUUGCUGCUGUUCAGUCCUUUUUCUUUCGGAAACGGGACGCGUUUGGCUGCCCGCAUGAACGCCGGGCACUUGCUCGUAGCUUGCUUCCCUUUCAUCCAGGCGCUUUCUAUUCCCGAGUAGAAAGAGUUCCCCACCUCAGCCGGCCUUUAGGAGCGACCUCAAGGUGCUGUUGUGUGGAUAGGCACCUGGGACCUUUUUCUGGCAGUGUUGUUUCCUUCUGUUUUCGUGAUGGUGGUUUCCUGCAGUUUGCAAUCUCUGCCUGCCUUAGAAAAGCCCACUUGGGGCAAUUUGGAGAGUUGAGUUUAUUUCACUUGGUUUUUAUGGUCUUCCUAAAGGCCGGAGGUCAGAGUUCUUACUUAAAUCUUUUUUUUGUGUGUGUAUAUGUGUAGAAAGAAACAUGCAGGGGUGGCAUUUCUCUAUUCUCACUUCAGUAUCAAUUCGUGCCAUGCCUGUCAUCCACUGGUUCCCCUUAGUGUAACUUCAUGGGGGCUGUGAUGCUGAGGUUCCUAACUGAGACUGCAGGGACAGACAGCAGAGGCAGAGGAACUUCCUGUUACCGCAAACCUUCUGAAAAUCUGCACGUUUGUGAAGGAUUCAGAAAUAGCUGGGCCCUUUCUUUCCAAGGUCUUGGUGAAAACCUCGCCCUGAGAUCUGGGGAGAAAAGUUAUUUCAGCAAAACCCUCCAUUAAUUAGUAGUUAGAGUAGUUGUGUUAAUAAUGUGUUAAGUUCUGUCGGUUGUUGCUUUCUGGAACAUGUAGGCAUUGCAGAGAGAAUGUGGUAGGCAGAGCUUUCCUUGUGAUCAGAGAGAUAACUUCUAAACUUGCUUUUCAUGGAUGAGUUUUUAAACUUAGCUGUAUCCAUGGUCUUCAUUCGUGGGCAGCCUGAUAGAUGCUGAAGAGAUCCCAUGGGCUGGAUGUAGAGCUGAGGUCUGUGCAUGUGGACUCUUCUUUAAAGGGAUUGGCCCAGGCAUGGGAACUUCAGCUCUCCUGGAGCUGUUGCUGAUCCCUGUUCUAGGAGAUACUAGAAUCAGUCUGAAGCUGCUCUUUAAUUGUGUUUGGUAGUAGUGUGUUAGCUUCACCUUAUGGAAAACAAAACCUCCUUAUAGGCAAAUGAAUAUGCCUCAACCAGAACCAAUUUGUGUGACACUCGUGAUCAGCUUCAUGACUGUUCAGAAAAGACAUUUUAGCAAGAAGAGAUGGAAACGUGGUCCUGUGACUUACGGGGAGGAGGAGACUGCAAUUAGCAUUCAGUGUAUUAAAUAACAGUAUAUUAUGAUAAGCUAUUAACAGUAUUUUAUCAGAGGUUAUCUUGCAUCUGCAUUUCACUUUUUCUGUGCUUUGUAUAUGUGGAGUUACUUAGGACCAGCGAGGCUUAUUGUGGUAAUUGAAGUUUCUCUUGUGCGGAAUAAUUAACAACUAAUGAUCAUGCUGAGAUGCAGUGACUGGGGAGAAGAAUGAGGCCAAGUAAUUUACAGCGCUUAAAAAAACGGAGUUGCAGUGGAAUGAGUGAAGCUUUGUUUUCAGGGACCUGUGUACACUGGAAAACUCUAAACGAAAUACUUAAUGUUCAUUGUCACACUGGGUGCAUCCAGCUUUGGAGGAUUCUCAUGCAUGGAGGAACUGGACGUCAGCUGGUCUAAAGCAAAAUUCCCCAUCCUACAGAGGUUACAUCAGCUUCCAGUACGACUUUAUCUCUAUUUAGGGUCAUUGUAGAGAUCCUCAACCAUCCUAAGAGAUGAGUUGCUCUUUCUUAGCAGCGUUACUCCUUUCUAGCCCACUGUAGAUCAGCAAAAUUAAUUCAGAGGGCAUCACGGAUGUGCUUCUUUGUUAACGACUGGUCAGAAAAGUUCAAAAAGAAGUAAAAUGGGAUUUUUGUUUCUUACGACCUUCAAGUAUGAAUCUGGGGGAAAACUUUAUUUCGGGAGCAUGUAAGUACUGGAAUUAUCCAGUCCUGUUUCUCAAAGUUCUGUCAAACUGCUCUGUGUUUAUGAAGAGACCGUAAAACUUAAGUGGCUUUGGUCUUCUGUGUCGAAAAAGCUUUUUAUAAGGCUGUGCAGCUGUAAAGAACUUCUCUUAAGAGCAAAUUGAUGGCGUGUACAUGACACAACUUGAGUGUCUCAUCUUAAUGCAGUGAUGUGAAAAGCAUGUUAAUGGCAAGGCUGCAGGCUUCUGCAACAGUGCUGGAACCCCACAGGAAAAUAACUUGGGAAGGUUUGCUGCAAAUCUGUCCUGCACCGUGAUUAGAAGUACUCCUAAACACAUGUUAUGCCUCCAUAAAACCUUGUUGAUUAUAACAAGCACUGCUUUGAUAUGUCUGUAAAGGGGAUAAUAAGCUAAACAAUGUAGAUGAGAUUAGCUGUAUCUUCAUCCUCAUGGUUACUAUUGCCUUAGAGGGAUUGUAGCAUCAGUUUUUCAGGGACGGUGUUGCAAAAGCCAUUGUUUGAUUAUUUCCAGUAAAAAUCACUUUUGCAAGAGUCUCCUUUCAAAUGCACACGUAAGAUUUCAGCGUUGAUGGAUAAAACUAUGUAAUUUUAUAUUCCCAAGCACUUUAAUGGAAGUGUCGAUUUAAAAUCUUGCUGACUGUGACACUGAAGCCAGCCUGCAUCUUCUAAUAAAAUGAAAUCCACCUCGUAACAAAAUGCUGCUUUGUGGAAUUUCCCCAUAAAGUACUAGCUGUUGCAAGGCAUGAUUGACUGCACAUUUCACCUUGAUUAAUGGUGGAAUACACAGAAUGCAGCAGUCAGGGUAAUGAUAAGUAUUUUGCAAGACAGGCCGUUUCCUUAAUCUCAGUGUAAAGGAUUACUUCGUUCGUUUGCAUUCUGAUGAUGGAAUCCAGAAUCUCACUUGCUGUCUCCAUCUGAAAGGAAGGAGGUGACGCUGCUGUCAAACUCGUGCAUCUAUUUAUGCAGUCAGUGUGAAGUUCUCAGUAAAUUCUUCUAUAUCUCCACUCCUUCAAAGCUGGGAUAAGCCACUUGACGCUUCGUGUGGUGCUGCUUCCACCAGCAGUAAUGUUAAGGUGAAAAUAAAGAGCAAGCAACUGGGCACAGAGCGAGUUGCAGCUUGUUGUGGUGGCUGAGGCACAGCUGCAAGAUACAUUCAGUUUUUAGUUAAGAUUGGACCUGUGUUGGAGUACGUGGUUAUAAACUCUGUGUUGCAGCGAUUAAGGAAGAUAAACACAAAGCGCUGCACUUCGAGUUGUGCACCUCCUAGAAUUGGUGCCCCAAACUCUGUAAGUAUUGUGUGCUGGACCGCUAUUUAACAGCUGAAAGGGCACUACUAAACAGGUCUUAAAUCUACAUUAUGAUUGCAGGUGUGUUCUCCUUAAUACGUUACGUCACGUCCUUUGUCUGUCAGUCCUUGAGUCCAGAAUCGGUGCAGUACAGCAGUGUGGAUUAAAGUCAGGGGUUCUGUGUUCUUCAGAACUUAACCUUUUCAUUACAAGUAGGAAGGAGAAUUCUCACUUUUUUUUUUUUUCUCUGAAAAGAGAGCUCCCUCUCAAAAGUGGAAGUGAUGCGUCUCUGCCAACCUGCUGGUUUGUACUAAUCGAGGGAGAGGGGAGGAACACUCCCACUUGGGCAGUGGGUUUUUUUUCCUUUUCAUUUUUGUAUGAGAAUCUUUCUGUUCAUGAGCUUCACGGUUCAGUCUUCCAUGUGGAAUUUGGAUAACCAAGUGAAUAGUCUUCAACAUGAAUAUUAUAACUGAACUCAGCCUUCCUGGAUGCGGGGUUUCCUUGCUUUAAGCAAGCCAUACUCUCUCAGUGGGUAAGUGUAUGUGUAGUAUGUUAGAUGGCAGAGGUGGAACUAGAAUGAUGGAAAUUCAGGUGCUUCACUGUGGCUCUCAGAAAGGAAUUUUUAGAGUCGUAGAGUCAUUUAAAGUUGGAAGAGACCACUACGAUGAUCUCAUCCAACUGUUGUGUACUGUUGGCUCGCUAAUGUGUACAUUGAUUCUUCUUUCCAGAAUAUGGUAUCAAGUUUUCGUGUUUCUGAACUUCAAGUAUUGUUGGGCUUUGCUGGGCGUAAUAAAAGUGGACGGAAACAUGACCUCCUGAUGAGGGCUCUGCACUUACUGAAGAGUGGCUGCAGCCCAGCAGUGCAGAUAAAAAUCCGAGAACUCUAUAGGCGUCGGUACCCAAGGACGAUUGAAGGACUUUCAGACUUAUCAGCUAUAAAACCUGCAGUUUUCAAUCUGGAUAGCAGUUCCUCUCCCGUGGAGCCUGACCUGGCUGUUGCUGGCAUUCACCCACUCCCUUCUACUUCGGUCACACCUCAGUCUCCUUCCUCACCCGUCAGCUCCGUGCUCCUUCAGGACACUAAGGCUCACUUUGAGAUGCAGCAGCCAUCGCCUCCCAUCCCACCUGUCCAUCCUGACGUCCAGCUGAAGAGCUUGCCUUUUUACGAUGUGCUUGAUGUACUCAUAAAGCCUACAAGUCUAGUACAGAGCAGUAUUCAGCGGUUCCAAGAGAAGUUUUUUAUCUUUGCUUUAACACCCCAGCAGGUCAGAGAAAUCUGUAUUUCCAGGGACUUCUUGCCGGGGGGCAGGAGAGAUUACACAGUCCAAGUUCAGCUAAGGUUAUGCCUAGCAGAGACAAGCUGUCCUCAAGAAGAUAAUUACCCUAAUAGUUUGUGCAUUAAAGUAAACGGGAAGCUGUUUCCAUUGCCGGGAUAUGCUCCACCGCCAAAAAACGGAAUUGAACAGAAGCGACCUGGGCGCCCCCUGAAUAUAACCUCUCUAGUUAGGUUGUCAUCAGCAGUGCCAAACCAGAUUUCCAUUUCCUGGGCUUCUGAAAUUGGAAAGAGUUACUCCAUGUCUGUGUAUCUCGUUCGUCAGCUCACUUCAGCUAUGCUUUUGCAGAGGUUAAAAAUGAAGGGUAUCAGAAACCCUGAUCAUUCCAGAGCACUAAUUAAAGAGAAACUAACAGCAGAUCCUGACAGUGAGAUUGCCACCACCAGUCUGCGGGUAUCUCUGAUGUGUCCUCUGGGGAAAAUGAGACUCACAAUCCCAUGCCGGGCCGUUACUUGCACACACCUGCAGUGUUUUGAUGCUGCUCUUUAUCUCCAAAUGAAUGAAAAGAAGCCUACCUGGAUCUGUCCUGUCUGUGACAAAAAGGCAGCUUAUGAGAGCCUAAUACUAGAUGGACUCUUCAUGGAAAUCCUUAAUGAAUGUUCAGAUGUAGAUGAGAUUAAAUUCCAGGAAGAUGGUUCCUGGUGCCCUAUGAGGCCUAAAAAAGAUGCUGUGAAAGUCUCAAGUCCACAGUGCACCAAAAUAGAAAGUUCCAGUGUUGUUAGCAAACCAUGUUCUGUGACAGUGGCCAGUGAGGUAAACAAGAAGAAAGUUGAUGUUAUUGACUUGACAAUUGAAAGCUCUUCUGAUGAAGAGGAAGAUCCUCCUGCCAAAAGGAAGUGCAUAUUCAUGUCUGAAACACAAGGAAGCCCAACCAAAGGGGUUCUCAUGUAUCAGCCAUCCUCUGUCAGAGUGCCCAGCGUUACAACAGUUGAUACUGCUGCAAUUCCUCCGUCGUUAACAGACUACCCUGUGCCAUUCCACCACCCUCCAAUGUCCAGCAUUUCCUCAGACUUGCCAGACAAACCCUAAAUGCCUAUGAUGUAUUCUUCAACACUGCUGCUAAAUAUCAGACAAAAGGUGGGGAUACUGAUUGUUUUCUAUCCUGGCUCCUUGAAAAGAACGCUGUGUGUAGGGACUCUGGGGGUUCUCUGUCGGCUGUAGUGAACCUAGAGCCCAGGAAAUGGUGACUUGUGACAGCAGGUGUCACGUGGGCCUCCUGUCCUUCCCUGCCCCGCUCCAUUGCCUGUCUCCAUUUCUCCCCUGCUGCAUCUCUGGGUUUUUUUCAUCUUCUUUCAGUUUGGCACUGGGAUGGAUAUCAUUCCCCUUGUUUCUUUGUCCAUUUUGGUUGCCUCACUGCUCCCUCCCUCCACUUCUCCCUUGUUAAGAAAUUCAUUUUCUUUCCAAAUUGGCUAGAAGACUAAGCCGAGAGAAUGGAAGUCUAGAACUUUCUUCAUCUCUACCAACUGAAGUUCUAGCAUAUGUAUGAACAAAAGCUGUGAAUUCUGUAAAAGCCGCUGAUCUUACAUCUCCUUUAAAAUUUGUCUUUAAUUAUCUCUAAUGGAGGAGAAGAGUAGAGAUGCCACUGGCUGGAACAGCUCUGUACUGUGACAAGAGAGGGAGGGAGAAAGCCUACCAUUUCUUUCUGUUGGCAUAGCAAACACAAGGCCAAGAUUUUGAAAUAGAAAUGGCUGUGAUUUCUCAUUGAUUUUGUGUCUUUUAAACAUCUUGCCCUAAGUGCUUAUGUGCUAAUGGCAUAGAGGACGGGCGCUGGUUGUCACUGCUCAUAGAGGAUUACCUUGAACUACUUGUAGUUUCCUCUUCUUCAUUCCUUUUAUUUGUCUAGACGCAAAACGGGGAUGAUAUUAGAAAUGUUUCCUUAUUGGCUGCCUAUGGGUGGAGGAAGAGACCUGCUGCUUGUUUUUGGACUUGUGCAUGUUGUGACUUUACUUCAUUCCAGCAUCCUUAAUGUGAUGACACUCUUCAUGUCCCAGUUUGGCCAAGUCAGGUACAAUAUGCAGUGAAACUUGUGUUAUGAACAACAGCUCCAAAUGGCAACCUCCAUCUAAGCAACCACAUUGAACCACCCUGCAAUAUCCAGUGAAUAAUACAUCAUUGUCAUCCUCAUUCUUAAAAAGAGCCACUUGUACUAGAAAACGUGUUUUGCUGCUGCCUGAAGUCGUUGAGAGUGGUGUCACAGUGGUAUACUUCAUUUAGAAACCGUAUAGCAAUUGCAAAAUCUGUUCUACGACAACAACAGAAAUUCCUUAAACUUAUUGUGUGUGAAGAGAAGGAAGACAUGUCCGUUUAUUAUCCCUCUUUUCUUUCUAGGUUUGGAUUUCCUUUCACUAAUUCCAGUUGAAUCACAGUACUGUCCUCCUAUGUUUUUGGAUAGUCUCACCUCAACCUUAACAAGCAACACGCCUGGCAGCAUCAUCACAUCGACCAGUCACCACGAGAGCAACACGCACGUUAGCUCC